Long non-coding RNA from Brassica rapa (field mustard), 2969 nucleotides. RefSeq lists it as uncharacterized. The record is from RefSeq and is a predicted model, not a curated record. NCBI's taxonomy places the organism in Eukaryota, Viridiplantae, Streptophyta, Magnoliopsida, Brassicales, Brassicaceae.
AUUUUGAAACUACUAUAUCCACAUUAUGCAGACAGGAUGGCUUAAUCUCUUCGGCUAUUCACAAGCCAAAUGCGAGUUCACGUUUAUUUUAUUGUUUUAGCAGACGUUUCCACUUUUUUGUGUGUUAUCUUGUAGUUUUACGAUUUAUAUUUUGAGAUAAAAGAAUAUAAGUAAACCGUAUGCUUACAAACAUGUGAAAACAAAAAUUCGUGAAAUUUUAGUCCACCUAGCUCUACUACCUAGUUUUAUGCGUGCACAUCUUGUAUCCGACUUUUUCCCUAUGCAUAAUUUUCGAAUAAUGUUUGAAUUUAAUUCUCUAAAAUCUUGCUUCAUUUUCAUAUUUUUUGCUGGUUAAUUAGUUUUUUUGUUCGAAUAACUUAACAUUUAAAUUUAAAGUCUCUCAAAUUUCCUUUCAUUUCUUUCUGUAUAUUGUUUGUUGAUUAAUUAGUUUUUUUUGUUUCUGUUGGUUACGUAUCAGUGACGUCGUAUUAAAUCAUAUGGUUUAGAAAAGAGAAAAAGAAGGUAAAACUGCUGAUGCAACGUAGAAUCGACUGGCCAACUUUAGAGUACACGAAAUUAAAUGUGAUUGUUUCCAGUGUAAUGAAAAAUAUUGAUAUUUUGGUACACGAAAAUGAUGUGAUUGCUUUUUUUUAAAUAAUGUGAUUGUUUUUUUUUUUUUGGUAAAAUAAUGUGGUUGUUACCAUCCAUAUAAUACUACAACAUGUAUCGGAAAAUGGAGUAGUAAGAAUUUAUUUCAUAGAAACAUUAUGUUUAUAUACACAUUAGAAUUAAUACAAUGAUUUGUAUAAAGGCAAAAAUCAAAUGCAUGACGAUGCUGUUAAGUAAGACGUACGUUAGAGGUGAGUGUCAUUUUCGCAUCGCGAUGUAAUAAAUUAGGUUAGAUGGUUUGUUCAGCACUAGAUUGAUUUAUUAUUUUCGGUUAGGUGCGUCGUAAUUGUAACGUGAUCAUCUACUAAGUUAUUAACCGCAUCCAUUACUUGUGGCUUACUAUAAUCCAAAACGUUUUUAUUCGAACAUUAAAAUACGAUAGAACUUUAAAUAUGUAAUCACGGUCUUGUGUGCAAGUGUUGGAAAUAGCAUGCAUGUGUCAUUUAUUGAUUAUGAUUUGUUACAAAUUAUGACAGAUGUUUUGUCUGUAAAACUCUCUGUUUCUUGUCAUUUAAUAGCUUUAGAAAAUUAAUUUAGUUAGAGAAACUGGAAAAAAAAAUUAUUCUUGUUGGAAACAAUUUGAACUUCAAUGACAUUAAAAUGAAACAAAAGGAAGAAAAACCUGUGAAGAGGAGAAAUUAACUUUUUUUAACUUUGUAUGUGUUACAAAAAAAACUUUCUUUGACUUUUGGAUAUAUGCGAAAAGUCCAGCCCAUUUGGCUAUUUGUGGGCCAUGAGGGGUAUAUGAAAAUACUAUUUCCUUUUGGGAAAAAUCUGUGAUCUCCAUAAGAUAAGUGCUACAUGAAAUAUACGUAAAGAACAAAGAAAAAUGAAAUAUACAUAAACUAUAUGAAUUUUUUUUUGAACUGUCCAAUUAACUAGACCAAGUGUUGGGGAGCAUUUUCGUCUGUCCGUUUGAUCUAUGUGAAAAAGAUACAUCUUCUAGUCUUUACUUCUUUCACUAAUGAGUCCGUUUGGCCAUUUCUGUCCCGAGAAUUAUGAACCAGACUCAUUUUCAAAUUCUUCAUGUAGUGUUUGGAACACAUUAAUUUCCGAGGUGAAGGCUGGCUAAUCAUAUCCACUAGAUCCGAGCAGUUCGUCUCGAAAUGGAUCGAUUGUAUUCUCUUGUCUCUCAUACAUAAAGCUUCUUAGAACAAGCCUUCCAUUUCAUCAUGUAAGGUUAAGAGGCUCCUUUCUCACACUCUAUAGAGACUGAUUAUAAAGUAUUUUACCUUUACUUUGUCUUAUUCUUUCACUUUAGAACCCACUCUUUACUCUUUUUUUAGACAUUCUCUCUAGGUGUAUAGGUUCUUUUUCUUUUUAAUAUGUACACAUACUUGUUUUUCAGAAGUGUGCUAUUUUAUUAUGUAUGAUGCAGGAAUAUAGAGAGAAAGUUGGGUUAAGGAACAUCACAUUUUCAAUUCAGAAAGAAGAGAGAAGCUGGUGGCCACAAAUCUGAAAUCAGAAGAGAAACCUGCACCUUACAUUAAGGUGGACUGGAAUAAAUGGUGCGAUGAGGAUGAAGAGCUGAAAUAGCCUCUGAUGAUGAGAGUCUAUUUGUUGAUCAAGAUUGUGAAAGCAGCGAUGACGAUGGAUUGCUCUGUAAGUCUAAACAACCUUAAUCUUCUUACCUGCAAGUAGAAAACUAAGUGAAGAUUGAUGCAUCAUUGUGCUGCAGGCCAAAGUUUUAAUGGCAUCAUUAUACUUUGAGCCUUUUUGUUAUUAUAGAUCUUACAUAAAAAGUUGUGUUUGAUCGUGUAAGUCAUCCAAAAGAGCAUGGAAUAUUCUUAACUCACAUAUUUUUAUCAUCUUAUAGAGACUUCUUUGCAUACAUUAUACCCGUUUAGCUAAUCCUCAUUAAGGCGAAUAUUCUUACACUUGUUCAAAUGUUAAGGUUAACAACAGGUUUGAAUUUUCAAUAUUUGGUGGGCUAAAUAAACCAAUAUAAACAAACAGAACAUGGCAGUUUUUUUUCAUUGUCUACAGAUAUAGAUUCUGCUACGUAUACGGUAUAUUACAUGGCAACUUACAUGUAACAUGUUUGGUAAGUCAAUACAGACUUCAGUUUAUCAUCUUACAGUCACAAAGACAGAGAAAAAUACAGUACUAUUAAACAAGUAAUAUCUGAAGAAGCAAGACAAGGGAAGUGGACGUGGGAUAUCAUUUUUUUUUCUUUUCGAAACACACUUAUAUUAAACAGACAGGAUCAACAAGAUGCUUGCGGUUCUUGAGCAGAAGAUCUUGUGGGUUAACCCUGACUGUGGUCUGAAGACAAGGAAGUACACUGAGGUCAAGCCAGC